GUACUUUCCUGCUUGAACCAGACAGUGCCAGGGUCAGAUGCUGAACAUCGGGCCCAGAAACUCCUGAGUCGGUUUUUGGCGGAGGAAACAGCGGAGAAAGAGAUGUUCAAAGGCUACCGUAGAAGAGUUAGAUUCUAUAUUGGAGAAGAACACGACCAAACCAUUGAACAAGUUGACGAAAAGCUCCUGUCCUACCCAUCACGCUUCAUUGCAGAGCAGCUAACUUUUAUGGAUGCUGAUCUUUUUCAGAAACUUGUGCCCAGCCAAUGUUUAGGGUCCAUCUGGUCUCAACGAGGGAAG
This is a long non-coding RNA of Stegostoma tigrinum, 300 nucleotides long. RefSeq lists it as uncharacterized. Lineage: Eukaryota; Metazoa; Chordata; Chondrichthyes; Orectolobiformes; Stegostomatidae. The record is from RefSeq and is a predicted model, not a curated record. The transcript has 3 exons.